GACGAACGCUGGCGGCGUGCUUAACACAUGCAAGUCGAACGGCAAGGCCCUGCUAUUGUGGGGUUCCCGAGUGGCGAACGGGCGAGUAACACGAGAGUAACCUGCUCUUCACUUUGGGGUAACUUCAGGUAACUGGGGCUAAUACCUUAUAGGAUCUCCUCCUGCAUGGUAGGCGUUGGAAAGUUUCGGCGGUUGGGGAUGGACUCGCGGCUUAUCAGCUAGUUGGUGGGGUAGUGGCUUACCAAGGCUUUGACGGGUAGCCGGCCUGAGAGGGUGACCGGCCACAUUGGGACUGAGAUACGGCCCAGACUCCUACGGGAGACAGCAGUGGGGAAUAUUGCACAAUGGGCGGAAGCCUGAUGCAGCAACGCCGCGUGCGGGAUGACGGCCUUCGGGUUGUAAACCGCUUUCGCCUGUGACGAAGCGUGAGUGACGGUAAUGGGUAAAGAAGCACCGGCUAACUACGUG
RNAcentral lists this ribosomal RNA (468 nucleotides) under uncultured bacterium. Its description in RNAcentral is "partial 16S ribosomal RNA". It matches the Rfam family "Bacterial small subunit ribosomal RNA", at positions 28 to 507 of the family's 1533-position model. The record is from RNAcentral.